Molecule: non-coding RNA, 75 nt
Filed under: uncultured eukaryote
Lineage: Eukaryota
Source: RNAcentral
GCCGCCGUCGCCAUCGCUCGAUGCUUCUGCGCCUUUCGAAGCAUGUUUUGAAGCCUGGGUGCUGCAGCUGCGCGG